This 578-nucleotide ribosomal RNA is filed under the name uncultured bacterium. RNAcentral describes it as "bacterial SSU rRNA". It matches the Rfam family "Bacterial small subunit ribosomal RNA", at positions 214 to 783 of the family's 1533-position model. The record is from RNAcentral.
UGUGCUAAUAGAUGAGCCUAAGUCGGAUUAGCUAGUUGGUAGGGUAAAGGCCUACCAAGGCGACGAUCUGUAGCGGGUCUGAGAGGAUGAUCCGCCACACUGGGACUGAGACACGGCCCAGACUCCUACGGGAGGCAGCAGUGGGGAAUAUUGGACAAUGGGCGAAAGCCUGAUCCAGCCAUGCCGCGUGUGUGAAGAAGGCCUUUUGGUUGUAAAGCACUUUAAGCGAGGAGGAGGAGCUUCAGGUUAAUACCCUGGAUGCUUGGACGUUACUCGCAGAAUAAGCACCGGCUAACUCUGUGCCAGCAGCCGCGGUAAUACAGAGGGUGCAAGCGUUAAUCGGAUUUACUGGGCGUAAAGCGUGCGUAGGCGGCUAAUUAAGUCAAAUGUGAAAUCCCCGAGCUUAACUUGGGAAUUGCAUUCGAUACUGGUUAGCUAGAGUAUGGGAGAGGAUGGUAGAAUUCCAGGUGUAGCGGUGAAAUGCGUAGAGAUCUGGAGGAAUACCGAUGGCGAAGGCAGCCAUCUGGCCUAAUACUGACGCUGAGGUACGAAAGCAUGGGGAGCAAACAGGAUUAGAU